Molecule: ribosomal RNA, 540 nt
Filed under: Vibrio sp. 03_296
Lineage: Bacteria; Pseudomonadati; Pseudomonadota; Gammaproteobacteria; Vibrionales; Vibrionaceae
Description: bacterial SSU rRNA
Rfam family: Bacterial small subunit ribosomal RNA
Source: RNAcentral
CUCGCGUCAGGAUAUGCCCAGGUGGGAUUAGCUAGUUGGUGAGGUAAGGGCUCACCAAGGCGACGAUCCCUAGCUGGUCUGAGAGGAUGAUCAGCCACACUGGAACUGAGACACGGUCCAGACUCCUACGGGAGGCAGCAGUGGGGAAUAUUGCACAAUGGGCGCAAGCCUGAUGCAGCCAUGCCGCGUGUGUGAAGAAGGCCUUCGGGUUGUAAAGCACUUCAGUCGUGAGGAAGGUGGUAGUGUUAAUAGCACUAUCAUUUGACGUUAGCGACAGAAGAAGCACCGGCUAACUCCGUGCCAGCAGCCGCGGUAAUACGGAGGGUGCGAGCGUUAAUCGGAAUUACUGGGCGUAAAGCGCAUGCAGGUGGUUUGUUAAGUCAGAUGUGAAAGCCCGGGGCUCAACCUCGGAACUGCAUUUGAAACUGGCAGACUAGAGUACUGUAGAGGGGGGUAGAAUUUCAGGUGUAGCGGUGAAAUGCGUAGAGAUCUGAAGGAAUACCGGUGGCGAAGGCGGCCCCCUGGACAGAUACUGACACU